CAGUCGUACCUUCGGGUAAUCAGCCUUUCGGGUGCGAUUCUGUGGAGUGUGAGGAGUUAAACACCUUCAUGUUUUGCAUAUUCGUACUCUUGGGUGUACUUGCCCGUGUGGUUGGUUAACAUCAAUUUUGGUGGUCAUAAAAUGACUGGAGGAAUGUAGCUUCGAUCUCGUAUUGAAGUGUUAUAGCCUUCGGUAGAUGUGGUGAUCGAGAUUGAGGAUUGCAACGGAUACCUUUCGGGGCUACCUGCCUGAUCUCUGAUCGUUGUUUUGGUGCUGAAAGCGUGCUUAUAGUUAUCAAAGUCGAUGGUUAAUAGGUUAGAAUGGGUUAAAUUCGUUAAGGAUGUUGACGUAAUGGCUUUAAACGA
RNAcentral lists this ribosomal RNA (365 nucleotides) under uncultured Glomeraceae. RNAcentral describes it as "partial large subunit ribosomal RNA". Lineage: Eukaryota; Fungi; Glomeromycota; Glomeromycetes; Glomerales; Glomeraceae. The record is from RNAcentral.